CGUGGCCUCGGGGGGCAGCAGUAGGGAAUAUUGCUCAAUGGGGGAAACCCUGAAGCAGCAACGCCGCGUGGAGGAUGAAGGUUUUAGGAUUGUAAACUCCUUUUGUGAGAGAAGAUAAUGACGGUAUCUCACGAAUAAGCACCGGCUAACUCCGUGCCAGCAGCCGCGGUAAUACGGAGGGUGCAAGCGUUACUCGGAAUCUCUGGGCGUAAAGAGUGCGCAGGCGGGCUUGUAAGUCAGAUGUGAAAUCCUGUAGCUUAACCACAGAACUGCAUUUGAAACUAUGAGUCUAGAGUGUGGGGGAG
This 305-nucleotide ribosomal RNA is filed under the name uncultured bacterium. RNAcentral's name for it is "bacterial SSU rRNA". It matches the Rfam family "Bacterial small subunit ribosomal RNA", at positions 331 to 656 of the family's 1533-position model. The record is from RNAcentral.